GAUCUGAGCGGAACCUGUGUACAUCCAUGGUUGCAGUGAAGGGGCACAGCAUUUGGGAGGGCCUCUGCACAUGGUCUGCCCUGCCUAUGCACCCUACACAUCAGUCCUACACUAGAGCUUCAAGUGCUUGGUUCUCAGGCUCAAAGAUGAAGAGAGUAGUAACAACUUUUCUGGAAGGUAGGACACUUAUUUCUUAUGGCAGGUCUUCCAGGGGUCCCGCAGUGUCUGAGGUCCUAUCCUCUGAGGAGCAAUAUAGUACAGCAAUUGGGAACUUGUGGCUCUAAAACUCUGUCUAGAGGAAUCCCAACGAUCUCCUAUUUCCAUUAGAUGUAUUACAAAGAAUGGAAGAAAAUAAGAAGGUGUGUUUAACCCUGCUAAUGAGACAUGCAAGCAAAUGGUUAGCUUUGAACAGUGUUGGAGGAGCAAAUAUUGAAGAGGGAUAUUAAAUUAUGGAUUUGGAGAAAAUAAUCCUAUUUUAAUUUCAGCUGUAAUUUGAUUGUCUGCUCUCAAUUUUCUGCUUGGUUGCAAAGGGCCCUGUUUGAACAAAGAGCAAUUAAAUAGUACAAAUGAGGAGGUGAAUAAUAGUUGGAAACACUUGUUAAUUAGCAGAGGGAUGCUGAUUAGUGUGCAACUGUGAGCAUGAAACCUUUUAUCGAAUUUGUUGAAGAGCAGAUUGCUCAUAUAAAUAAGGCAUAAAGUUAAGUCAUAUUCAAAUUCCUUAGCUUUACUUGCUCUUGACAGGACACUUCUGAAAAUCUUCUACUUUUGCACACCAUUGAUUUCCCAAUUGCAUGCGUGAAAUGCACUGUUAGAAAAUCCAUCUGAAAAAAGGGCUUGUGCAAAUUACAGUAAUAAUUAACUAUCUACUUUACCUAGUUUUAGGUUAACCUAUACCCAUGGAGUCCCAGAUCAGUGGUGAAGUAAUCCUGGAAAUCUCCUCCUUUUAAUUUAGACCUUCUUCUUGGCUAUUGAUCACUUUAUAACUCAUGGAAUAAGUCAAAGGAACACGUGGCAAAUAAUAAUAAAAGUCUAUCAACUUGAGUCACAAAUUUAUUGGAAAACUUAGCCAUUGCCAUUGUGUAUAUAACAGUAGUUAGUUCUUCAUGGAUGUGGGCCUUUCAUUGGAGUUAUAUUACCUUUCUGGGAUGUUACUGUUGGGGACACUGGGGCAUGGCCACUAGGUAACUCAAGGGGAUGGAAGACCAUGAGUGUCGAUGAAGCCCCCUCGCACUAGGCCCCGGUGUCCUUGGCCCCCCCUCCCACCUGGAGGCACUCGCAGCAGCUCUGCGUACUAGGCCCGAGUGUCCUUGGGCCCCCCCGCCUGGAGGCGCACACAGCAGUUAUGCUGAGAAUGUGCAACAAUAUGCUGCAGAGUCAGACUGCCUGAAACUAAGCAAGGCCACGCAGGGCAGAUAUGGAAGAACAAUGCUGAAUAAAGCAGCUUUAUGUAUAGUUUAACAAAUGAUACAGAGAACCAAGGAACUAGCUGGGAACUGGAUUGGCUGGCUAUAUGGAUACUUGGGGCAGCUUGCUAUUGGAUAAGUAUGCUGGGAAAAAGGAUGUAUAAAAGCCUGUGUAACUUCUUGCUCUGUGUACAGGAUUUGAGAUUCAAAUCUCCCUGUACCUAUUUGAAGCUUCAAAUAAACUUUUCUGCUUCUCCACCCCGUUGUGAUUAUUGGGUGUAGCACACCAGGUAACGAACCACUCCAGCUAUUGUUCAGCCUCUUGGCACUGGGUGCCGGCAACAGCUUUUGGUGUCCCUGGGUGGGCCGGAGGCUGCAAUUUAGCCUUGCCCGGACCCCUCCUGGAGGUCAAGGAUUGCGGCGAGAACCAACGCCCAGUGCGCACCGGUGAGUUCACCGGUGCCUCAGUGGAGACAUGAUUUGAUCGACCCCGGAAGGCACAACGGUGCAACGCAGUCAUAUAGUGGAGAAGCAGUUGUGGACUAUGACGGUGAAGAACUGGUCCCUUAGAUAAGGUAUACCAAGGAUUCCCAGCCUCUCCCCUUGGACACUCCCAUCCACUCCUUACAGCCCGGUGACUCUGUGCUUGUUAGCACCUGGAAAGACGAGCCUCUCCAGGAGAAGUGGAAAGGACCCUAUGCCGUCCUGCUGAUCUCCCAUACAGCGGCAAAGAUCGAGGGACACAAGAACUGGAUCCAUCACUCUUGUCUGAAGGCAGUACCCGCCCCCUCGUCAGCAGAACAGUGGACCGUCCAACCUGCUGACUCCUCAUCUAAUGACGAUCUCGGGCUAAAGCUACUGUUUAAAAGACACAAAUAGCAGGCACCUUAAUGCUAAAAUGGACCCACCCAGGUACUGGAGACCCUGGGUUGGGAAGACUCUGGUGAUAAUUAAUUGGGUAACAUUGUUAUUCUCUGUAUUGGUAUUUCCAAACUGUGCAUAUCGGGAGCAUAACUCCUUUGUUUCGCUUGCGCACCAUGUUGCUACUUUAACAAACCAGACUGAUUGCUGGGUAUGUGCUCCAACUCCACUGUCCCCCAAAACGGGAAUGCCCCUUGACAUGCUGCCCUUGACCCUAGCAGAAUUAGCCACCACCAAAGAGCAGGAAAGAACGGACUCGCCGUUCUGGAAUAAGACCUCUUUACAGCAGGCCACCUAUCAGGCCCAGGAGUAUUCAGUUGCAGUACUCACUGAGGGAGAGUUUUUAUGUUUUACCUGAAACCAAUCUGAUCACUAUGGGUGUCCAGUGGGGAAAAAGCUCCUGUGUUAUUACACAGUGGGCUGAUGGGUAUUGGAUAAAGACCAACAGGGGAGGCCAACAGUGUGGGUGUAAUGGUUCCUCCCCUUUUAGGGAAACUCUUACAAAUAAUCUUACCACAAAAGAGGGGUUUGGAAAUGUAACUUGCCGUCCAGUUAACAUCUCCAAUGUAGCAAGCCAGUGGUGGGUUUGUAGUGGUCCCUAUGGCGAGUGUAAUUUGAACGGCACAAUUAGAAACGCCCCCAUUUGUACCCAGUUAGGAGGAUGGGAUGCCCCCCUAGGGGCAUAUGAACUGUUUGGAAAAGCAGCCUUAAAUAUCCCAGGAAUCCCCUUAAGAAACAGUCCUUACUGGGCCCUACAGGGUCACUAUUUUGUAUGUGGCUGAAAGGCUUACAAGGUGCUGCCAGCGAACUGGACAGAUAGCUGUUAUAUAGCUCGUGGAUUUCCUCAUCUGUCAAUAACUGCCACACUGCCCAAAGGAAAGAUUAGAAAUGCCCGAGACACCUCUGAGUCACGAGAAAAGACCCUGCGGUGACUGACUACGGCAUUGGAGGGCAAUAUGAAGAAUCCCCUCACAACCGAGAAGCUUGUAGGGUGCUCUGUACUGGGAAUAGCGCCACUGGUUUCUGGGCCAGCCAUGGCAUGCAUAGGCCGCUAUACUAUAAGGCUGCAGAUGGUACUUGAGAAGGUGGCCUUAGAGUUAGAGGACUCGGUUAGUGAUUUAGGGUCAGCAGUAAAAACAUUAAAUAAAGAGGUACAGCAGCUCAGGACGUUUUCCCUCCAAAACAGGCUGGCUUUGGACUAUCUCUUGGCAUCCCAAGGAGGGGUUUGUGCCCUCGUCGGGCACCGAUGUUGUGUAUAUGUAAAUGAUAGCAGUUAUGAGAUCUAUGAAAAGGUGGUACAGGCUGAGGCCCAUGCCCGAGCCGGAGCACAGGUUGCCUAUACUGCCCCAGAGAAUGAUUGGUUGCAAACCUUGUUUUCAGGCUGGGGUUUGUUGUCUUGGCUUGGUGGUUUAUUUAGCCUGCUAUUGAAAAUUCUCUUUCCUGUAUUGCUUGUAUUACUGGUAUUAUGCUGUGCAGUCUCAUGUGUCAGAGCCCUUUUGCAAAAGUUAAUAAGUCAUUCUCUUCAGGGCUAUCACAAAGUGUUUAUGCAAAGUCCUAUUGUAAAGAAAUAAGUAGCCCAAGUGAGAAAACUCAGAGCCAAGGUUGUUGAGUGUUCUCAAAGGGGGGAGUUGUUGGGGACACUGGGGCAUGGCCACUAGGUAACUCAAGGGGAUGGAAGACCACAAGUGUCGAUGAAGCCCCCUCGCACUAGGCCCAGGUGUCCUUGGCCCCCCCUCCCGCCUGGAGGCACUCACAGCAGUUAUGCUGAGAAUGUGCAACAAUAUGCUGCAGAGUCAGACUGCCUGAAACUAAGCAAGGCCACACAGGGCAGAUAUGGAAGAACAAUGCUGAAUAAAGCAGCUUUAUGUAUAGUUUAACAAAUGAUACAGAGAACCAGGGAACUAGCUGGGAACUGGAUUGGCUGGCUAUAUGGAUACUUGGGGCAGCUUGCUAUUGGAUAAGUAUGCUGGGGAAAAGGAUGUAUAAAAGCCUGUGUAACUUCCUGCUCUGUGUACAGGAUUUGAGAUUCAAAUCUCCCUGUACCUGUUUGAAGCUUCAAAUAAACUUUUCUGCUUCUCCA
Caretta caretta (loggerhead turtle) is the source of this 4404-nucleotide long non-coding RNA. RefSeq lists it as uncharacterized. Lineage: Eukaryota; Metazoa; Chordata; Testudines; Cheloniidae. The record is from RefSeq and is a predicted model, not a curated record.